AUUGUACAGCAAGUGUAGAUUACAAGAUUGCUGAAGUAAAUCAUAUCUCUGGCUGUAAUUGCAGAAAUAUGCACAUUGUAGAAGACUGGAGUCUAGUUUAGAGGUAGCUAGUUCCAGAAUGGCAGAAUUGGAUCCUCCUCGAGAGAAUUCUGAUUCAAGAGGAAACAAAAUCUUAGCUUCUACACUAGAAACUGGUCCAUGGAGAGUCCCAGUAAAGAGGAUUCGAGACCCAAAUGGAGAAAUGGAUGGGUGUUUGUGACUGCAUUUUAACCAAAGAUGGACCUGGAACAAUUGCGGAGGCGUUGAUAAGGGGCUUUCCAAUCAUGAAGCAAUGGCUAGGCAGUUGUAUUGCAGGCUCUGGUGUUGUGUUGGUGCAGUCGGUGUGUCCAAGGGAUAGGAGGGUUUUACUAAAAUAUAAGUGUUAUUAGAUUUAUUUUUAUUUUUUUGGUGUUGAAGUUUUGUAAAACUGAUCUUCUGUGAACAAUAGUGAUUAUAAUUGGAAGGAAAUCUGAUCUUCUUUUCAAAUACAUGGUUAUUAAAGUAUUAUACUAA
Molecule: long non-coding RNA, 552 nt
Organism: Papaver somniferum (opium poppy)
Lineage: Eukaryota; Viridiplantae; Streptophyta; Magnoliopsida; Ranunculales; Papaveraceae
Exons: 3
Source: RefSeq, a predicted model, not a curated record